This is a long non-coding RNA of Lycium ferocissimum, 1036 nucleotides long. RefSeq lists it as uncharacterized. The transcript is spliced from 2 exons. The record is from RefSeq and is a predicted model, not a curated record. NCBI's taxonomy places the organism in Eukaryota, Viridiplantae, Streptophyta, Magnoliopsida, Solanales, Solanaceae.
CUAAAUGCUGCUUUUAAUUCAUCCUAUUACCUUUGUCUCUUUUACUGUUUUCGGUAAAUUGAAAACUCUCAAGGAACAAUUCCAAGUCUCAUACGUUGUAGAAAUCCAUAGAAGUUUCUUAAUAUACUCAUAAAAGUUAAUCUUUAUGUCUCUGCAAUGCUGGUUUUCUUUUCAUGCUUUAGAUAGUAGAGCUUUAUGAAUAUAUGACACACUUCUCCUUACUUCUGCUUCACAGGAUAAUUUCUCUAUUCAUUAAAACUUUCGCAAUUGAAGGACUUCAACAAAGAAAGUUACAAAAGACCGUUCUGUCUUGAGUCUUGGCUGUCGCGUCCUAGCUCUCAAAAUGUCCUUAGCAGUACAUGUUCAUCUUUACAGACUCAUGGUUGAAACACCAAAAUGGACCUGGUUGAAAUGAUAGGCUGGAGAAGACUUCCGUUAGAUGUGUUUCAGUGUCAUGAUUGGCAAGGGAAAUUGCAUUUCAUAAACUUGUUUGCACUUGGCUGAAACUGGAUUGGAGAUAUUAUUUCCUCUUAUGUGGAAAAUUCACUUUGGUAGAUUUCUCUACCAUGGCUGUAUGCUAUAGAGUUUCUUGAAUCUUAUGCAGAAGGACUAGAAAGCCAUUCAUCGGGAGUACGUGAUGGACUACCCUCGACUAGUGCAAUCGUGCAUUAGUCGUUGAAACCUAAGCUUGAUCGUUCCAACGUGGCGCUGAGCUUGAACAGGAUCUCGUGUUUUUCUUAAUUGAUUGAUGUUCCAUGCUAGUAAUAUUAAUCUUUUCAAAUACUAUGAAAUUCUCUUAUUGCUUCAGUCAACUAUCUAUGAAAUUGUGUUGAAUGUUAAAUAUCAGUUUUGAAAGGGGAAUGUGUUGGUUUGCUAGGAGAUUUAGGAUGUAAGUUGUGAGGAAGAGCCUAUAUUAGUUUCUAUCAGUUUGGUGCUUCACUCAAUAUGAUUAUUAUUCAUUUUCUAUAGCCGGAGCUUUAGUCCAUAUAAUUAUAUUAAUAGGAAUAUUUACUGCAUUCUCACAAUAUUUAAACUC